AUUGAACGCUGGCGGCAGGCCUAGCACAUGCAAGUCGAGCGGAUGAAGGGAGCUUGCUCCUGGAUUCAGCGGCGGACGGGUGAGUAAUGCCUAGGAAUCUGCCUGGUAGUGGGGGAUAACGUCCGGAAACGGGCGCUAAUACCGCCUACGUCCUGAGGGAGAAAGUGGGGGAUCUUCGGACCUCACGCUAUCAGAUGAGCCUAGGUCGGAUUAGCUAGUUGGUGGGGUAAAGGCCUACCAAGGCGACGAUCCGUAACUGGUCUGAGAGGAUGAUCAGUCACACUGGAACUGAGACACGGUCCAGACUCCUACGGGAGGCAGCAGUGGGGAAUAUUGGACAAUGGGCGAAAGCCUGAUCCAGCCAUGCCGCGUGUGUGAAGAAGGUCUUCGGAUUGUAAAGCACUUUAAGUUGGGAGGAAGGGCAGUAAGUUAAUACCUUGCUGUUUUGACGUUACCAACAGAAUAAGCACCGGCUAACUUCGUG
Molecule: ribosomal RNA, 484 nt
Filed under: uncultured bacterium
Lineage: Bacteria
Description: partial 16S ribosomal RNA
Rfam family: Bacterial small subunit ribosomal RNA
Source: RNAcentral